Non-coding RNA from Saxophila tyrrhenica, 115 nucleotides. The record is from the annotation of a RefSeq genome assembly. Lineage: Eukaryota; Fungi; Ascomycota; Dothideomycetes; Mycosphaerellales; Extremaceae.
GCCUCUAUAGCUCAGUUGGUAGAGCGCGGCACUAGUAUAUCUGUCACAAUAUCAAACGAUAUUUGACAUGAUUCCUGGCAUGCCGAGGUCUACGGUUCAACUCCGUAUGGAGGCA